CUUCUAAAGUCCACAAACUUAACCAUUUUCGAGCAUCUAAGUGUCAAAAUAAAACCACAUUUCAAAUCAAAAAUCUCUUUUAAAGUCCCUAAACCUAACACCUUUGAACCAAGUGUUAAAACAAAACCACAUUCCAAAACAAAAAUCCCUUCAAAAGUCCCUAAACUAUUUUCAACCAACCAAGUAACCUAACAAAACCACAUUCCAAAACAAAAUACCCCUCUAAAGUCCCUAAACUUAACCAUUUUCGAGCAUCUCAGUGUUAAAACAAAACCACAUUACCAAAAAAAAAAUCCCUUCUAAAGUCCGUAAGCUUAACCAUUUUCGAGCAUCUAAGUGUCAAAAUAAAAUCACAUUCCAAAACAAAAAUCUGUUUUAAAGUCCGUAAACCUAAAACUUUCUAUCCAAGUGUCAAAACAAAGCCACAUUCCAAAACAAAAAUCCCUUCUAAAGUCCCUAAACUUAACCAUUUUCAACCAACCAAGUCGCCUAACAAAACCACAAUCCAAAACAUAAUCCUCUUCUAAAGUCCCUAAACUUAACCAUUUUCGAGCAUCUAAGUGUCAAAACAAAACCACAUUCCAAAACAAAAAUUCAUUUUAAAGUCCCUAAACUUAACCAUUUUCAACCAACCAAGUCACCUAACAAAACCACAUUCCAAAACAAAAUCUCCUUCUAAAGUCCCUUAACUAUUUUCGAGCAUCUAAGUGUCAAAACAAAACCACAUUCCAAAACAAAAAUCCCUUCUAAAGUCCACAAACUUAACCAUUUUCGAGCAUUUAAGUGUCAAAAUAAAACCACAUUCCAAAAUAAAAAUCUAUUUUAAAGUCCCUAAACUUAACUAUUUUCGGACAAGUAAGUGUCAAAACAAAACAACAUUCCAAAACAAAAAUCCCUUCUAUAGUCCACAAACUUAACCAUUUUCGAGCAUCUAAGUGUCAAAACAAAACCACAUUCCAAAAUAAAAAUCCAUUUUAAAGUCCCUAAACUUAACCAUUUUCAACCAACCAAGUCACCUAACCAAACCACAUUCCAAAACAAAAAUCACUUCUAAAGUCCGUAAACUUAACCAUUUUCGAGAAUCAAAGUGUCAAAACAAAACCACAUUCAAAAAUAAAAAUCCCUUUUAAAGUCCCUAAACUUAACCAUUUCCAACCAACCAAGUCACCUAACAAAACCACAUUCCAAAAUAAAAAUCUCUUCUAAAGUUCUUAAACUUAACCAUUUUCGAGCAUCUAAGCGUCAAAAUAAAACCACAUUCCAAAACAAAAAUCCCUUUUAAAGUCCCUUAACUUAACCAUUUUCAACCAACCAAGUCACCCAACAAAACCACAUUCCAAAAUAAAAAUCUCCUCUAAAGUCCAUAAACUUAACCAUUUCCGAGCAUCUAAGUGUCAAAACAAAACCACAUUCCAAAACAAAAAUCCCUUCUAAAGUUCACAAAUUGAACCAUUUUCGAGCAUCUAAGUGUCAAAACGAAACAACAUUCCAUAUCAAAAAUCUCUUUUAUAGACCCUAAACCUAACACUUUUUAACCAAGUGUCAAAACAAAACCACAUUCCAAAACAAAAAUCCCUUCUAAAGUCCCUAAACUUAACAAUUUUCAACCAACCAAGUCACCUAACAAAACCACAUUCCAAAACAAAAUACCCUUCAAAAGUCCCUAAACUUAACCAUUUUGGAGCAUCUCUGUGUCAAAACAAAAUUUCAUUACAAAAAAAAAUCCCUUCUAAAGUCCGUAAACUUAACCAUUUUCGAGCAUCUAAGUGUCAAAAUAAAAUCACAUUUCAGAACAAAAAUCUCUUUUAAAGUCUCUAAACCUAACACUUUUUAUCCAAGUGUCAAAACAAAACCACAUUCCAAAACAAAAAUCCCUUCUAAAGUCCCUAAACUUAACCAUUUUCAACCAACCAAGUCACCUAACAAAACCCUAUUCCAAAACAUAAUCCCCUUCUAAAGUCCCUAAACUUAACCAUUUUCGAGCAUCUAAGUGUCAAAACAAAACCACAUUCCAAAACAAAAAAUUAUUUUAAAGUCCCUAAACUUAACCAUUUUCAACCAACCAAGUCACCUAACAAAACCCUAUUCCAAAACAUAAUCCCCUUCUAAAGUCCCUAAACUUAACCAUUUUCGAGCAUCUAAGUGUCAAAACAAAACCACAUUCCAAAAAGAAAUCCCUUCUAAAGUCCGUACACUUAACCAUUAUCGAGCAUCCAAGUGUCAAAACAAAAUCACAUUCCAAAACAAAAAUCUCUUUUAAAGUCCCUAAACCUAACACUUUUUUUCCAAGUAUCAUAACAAAAGCACAUUUCCAAACAAAAAUCCCUUCUAAAGUCCCUAAACUUAACCAUUUUCAACCAACCAAGUCACCAAACAAAACCACAUUCCAAAACAUAAUGCCUUUCUAAAGUCCCUAAACUUAACCAUUUUCGAGCAUCUAAGUGUCAAAAGAAAAUCACAUUCCAAAACAAAAAUCCAUUUUAAAAUUCCUAAACUUAACCAUUUUCUACCAACCAAGUCACCUAACAAAACCACAUUCCAAAACAAAAUCUCCUUCUAAAGUCCCUAAACUUAACCAUUUUCGAGCAUCUAUGUGUCAAAACAAAACCACAUUCUAAAACCAAAAUCCAUUUUAAAGUUCCUAAACUUAACCAUUUUCAACCGACCAAGUCACCUAACAAAAUCACAUUCCAAAACAAAAUCCCCUUCUAAAAUCCCUAAACUUAACCAUUUUCGAGCAUCUAAGUAUCAAAACAAAACCACAUUCCAAAACAAAAAUCCAUUUUAAAAUCCCUAAACUUAACUAUUUUCAACCAACUAAGUCGCCUAACAAAACCACAUUACAAAACAAAAUCCCCUUCUAAAGUCCCUAAACUUAACCAUUUUCAAGCAUCUAAGUGUCAAAACGAAACCACAUUCCGAAAUAAAAAUCCAUUUUAAAGUCCCCUAAACUUAACCAUUUUCAAUCAACCACGUCACCUAACAAAACCACAUUCCAAAACAAAAUCCCCUUCUAAAGUCCCUAAACUUAACCAUUUUCGAGCAUCUAAGUGUCAAAACAAAAUCACAUUCCAAAACAAAAAUCCCUUUUAAAGUCCCUAAACUUAACCAUUUUCAACCAACCAAGUCACCUAAAAAAACCACAUUCCAAAAUAAAAAUCUCUUUUAAAGUUCCUAAACUUAAUCAUUUUUGAGCAUCUAAGUGUCAAAACAAAACCACAUUAUAUUCUAAAACAAAAAUCCCUUAUAAAGUCCCUAAACUUAACCAUUCUCAACCAAUCAAGUCAC
RNAcentral lists this long non-coding RNA (3288 nucleotides) under Capsicum annuum. RNAcentral's name for it is "long non-coding RNA (CANN_LNC020444)". The record is from RNAcentral. Lineage: Eukaryota; Viridiplantae; Streptophyta; Magnoliopsida; Solanales; Solanaceae.